Molecule: ribosomal RNA, 502 nt
Filed under: uncultured bacterium
Lineage: Bacteria
Description: partial 16S ribosomal RNA
Rfam family: Bacterial small subunit ribosomal RNA
Source: RNAcentral
AUUGAACGCUGGCGGCAGGCUUAACACAUGCAAGUCGAGCGGGGUGAUGGUGCUUGCACUAUCACUUAGCGGCGGACGGGUGAGUAAUGCUUAGGAAUCUGCCUAUUAGUGGGGGACAACAUCUCGAAAGGGAUGCUAAUACCGCAUGCGUCCUACGGGAGAAAGCAGGGGAUCACUUGUGACCUUGCGCUAAUAGAUGAGCCUAAGUCGGAUUAGCUAGUUGGUGGGGUAAAGGCCUACCAAGGCGACGAUCUGUAGCGGGUCUGAGAGGAUGAUCCGCCGCACUGGGAAUGAGACACGGCCCAGACUCGUACGGGAGGCAGCAGUGGGGAAUAUUGGACAAUGGGGGGAACCCUGAUCCAGCCAUGCCGCGUGUGUGAAGAAGGCCUUAUGGUUGUAAAGCACUUUAAGCGAGGAGGAGGCUCUUUUGGUUAAUACCCAAGAUGAGUGGACGUUACUCGCAGAAUAAGCACCGGCUAACUCUGUGCCAGCAGCGCAGUAA